UUCGAUUUUCUUUCCCCCAUCCCGGUUUUCUCCCUCUGGCCUGCUCCUCACGCUGGCGUUCCGCGCCGCCGCUGCCGACUGCUCCUCACGCCGGCAUCCCGCGCCGCCGUUGCCGACCUCCAGCCGUCGUCCAAAACAACGGCAACAUGGAUCCUGAUGUGGAGCUCCACUACGGCCCGAUCUGACCUGGGAGCGACCAGAUCCGUGCGUCUCCGCCUCGCUUCACGCGCCUCCAUGGUCCGCCGUCUUCCCGAGCGCCGGCGCCGCGCUCAGCGCCGCCGUCCCAUGCCAUGGUAGCCUCCCCUCCAGAACGAUGUGUCAUGGCCGCCUCCCUGCCUCUCCCGCAGAGUUAACUCCCACCCGUACAUGAGCCCCAAGGCACCACGCGAUUCUGAUGAUACACGAACACUGGGUCGGUCCUCUAUCCGGCAGCUCCGUUGGGGAAGCACCAAGAUCCAAACUCCAAGUAUCCGUGGAUAUAGGGAACAGUUAUGGUACAAAUAGACUUGAUUGUACUGACAAUUUUCAGCUUGCACAUGGAUCCCUUAUAGUAUGCAAUCAAGCUUGAUGAUAAAUUCUUGGAGAGACGCUAGGUGCCAGCUGCUCACUGUGCGCAUGGGAUAGGAGGUCAUGCGUGGAGGCUACUCGGAGAGGACUGUAUGCAUGUCCGUGUCCGCGCACUUGGAGCAGCAGCCAAUGGAUGGUCGGCCAGAGGAGGACCAGGGUUGGAGAUUUGGGAUCGGAGACGCCAAGAACAAGGGACCAAGGUGCUGAACUAACGGCACGGGCAGAAUGAUUCUUCAGGGAGCGGCACAGAUUUGGAACAAAUUCCAGAACAGGCAUCCAAGCAUUUGGUCUGGUACCACUAAGCUGCCAGAGCAAGAUAGCUGGGAUGUCGAGUCCAUAGGGCAAUGGUAAAUCACAAAUUGGCUGAUGUUCGAUGGGAAGCAUCAGACAAUACCAAUGUCCAGUAGUAAGAUUUGAUUGUGCAGGUGAUCAACCCACGUGUGCGUACAUCCCCUGUUAGUCCAGAUUUAGAAAAAUAUGAUUUCUGCUAUGAUAGUUUCCAGAAUAGUUUGGCCCUCGAGACACUUCCACUGUAUGCAUGUGUGUUCCUUUUUUUCAGAGAUAUGCGUCUAUUGAUUAUUAUUGGAAUUGGUUCGACAAACUGUGUAUAUGUGACAAAUUUACUAAUAUACUGACCCAGCCUAAUAAUAUGACUAAUCCAUACAGUGGAUAUGCGCCAAUGCUCAAAUUUGAAAAAUGAAGGAUUCAAGUCGCGAGUAUGCCCAUAAAAAAUAUAUAGUUUGACUUAGUCGUAGGUUCUGUAGUAAUCUUGCCUUGGCGCUGCUGCCUCUCCUCUCUGCUCCUUGCUGCCUGCGGCUGUCCCAUCUCUCCUAGCACUGCUGCUGCACUUCUUCUGAAGCAAUUCUCAACCCCGUUGCUGCAGUUCUCUGAACUCCAACCUGUUGCUGCUUCUCUCUCUCUCAAUUUUUCUGGAAGUCUGUGAACCAUUCUUGUGCGAUUAUAUGAUUUGUGUUAUUUGCUUGAGUGAACCUGUAAGGUUUGUACCUCAUGCAAAGUGCUAGCACCUACAUAUUAUCCAAAAUUUUCUUCUAAAUGUCAUGAGGCAUGAGCAACAAAUUUUCUCAAGAAUGACCCUUGGUAUAUACUCCCUCCGUCCGAAAAUACUUGUCAUCAAAAUGGAUAAAAGGAGACGUAUCUAGAACUAAAAUACGUCUAGAUGCAUCCUCUUUUAUCCAUUUUGAUGACGGGAGUAUAAGGCAUGGAUGCAAUUUUAAUAAUACUCUUUUGGCUCUCAUUAUCUGUUGCCAUAGAGCAUCGUAUAAUAUAGAAGAGUCAGUCAAACAAAGCUCUUUCAAUAUCGGACUAAUUGUGCCAAUGGAGUCAACUCAUGUACUAAUUCCGAGUGGUGUCAAUGGAGUCAACUGAUGUACUCAUUGUCUGAUGAAAACUCUAGGUUAUCAGAUGAUGGCUAGACAUCAAUCCAUACUGCCAGUACUUGGUCCAUAUAAUUGCUCCAUACCAGUUGCGUUGUGUAGUUUACUAUCUGUGUGCUUCGAGUUCUGUACUUUGAUGGAAAAGAAUACAACCUGAAAUUUUAUUGAAUUCUGACGUGUGAUGCUGCCA
This is a long non-coding RNA of Triticum dicoccoides, 2151 nucleotides long. RefSeq lists it as uncharacterized. The transcript has 7 exons. NCBI's taxonomy places the organism in Eukaryota, Viridiplantae, Streptophyta, Magnoliopsida, Poales, Poaceae. The record is from RefSeq and is a predicted model, not a curated record.